AAGGUCCCUGGGGACCUAGGAUGGAAGCAGAGAUGAUCAUAGCAUUGGCUGUCUCUUGGAGCUGAGAAGUGUGGGAUGAGGAGGAGGAUACAUCUUUUGGGUAAGGAACAUUCUAUUAACAAGAAGAUGGAGUGAGGAGAGCAAUUUUUGGAAGAUAGAAGAAAAUGAGAAGGGGAAUAUUUUUCACAUGGAAAAGAAGGCACAUCUGUCAGGAAAUAGGGAGUGAAAUGCAAGGGGCUGCCGUACCUUAUCCUUUUCUUCCCCACACCUGCUUGAGAUUGGAAGAUAAAAGAGACGGUGGAACAGAAGAGAGAAAGAAGAAAUACUGUCUUAGUUUUGUUUCUGUUGGUUGAGAUGAAAUGAGUUUCAUGGCUCCAGCUGAAGAUGUUG
Molecule: long non-coding RNA, 390 nt
Filed under: Equus asinus (donkey)
Lineage: Eukaryota; Metazoa; Chordata; Mammalia; Perissodactyla; Equidae
Description: lncRNA (ENSEASG00005029698.1)
Source: RNAcentral